AACGAACGCUGGCGGCAUGCCUAACACAUGCAAGUCGAACGAGACCUUCGGGUCUAGUGGCGCACGGGUGCGUAACGCGUGGGAACCUGCCCUUGGGUUCGGAAUAACGUCGGGAAACUGACGCUAAUACCGGAUAAUGUCUUCGGACCAAAGAUUUAUCGCCAAAGGAUGGGCCCGCGUAGGAUUAGCUAGUUGGUGGGGUAACGGCUCACCAAGGCGACGAUCCUUAGCUGGUCUUAGAGGAUGAUCAGCCACACUGGGACUGAGACACGGCCCAGACUCCUACGGGAGGCAGCAGUGGGGAAUAUUGGACAAUGGGCGAAAGCCCGAUCCAGCAAUGCCGCGUGAGUGAUGAAGGCCUUAGGGUUGUAAAGCUCUUUUACUGGGGAUGAUAAUGACAGUACCCAGAGAAUAAGCCCCGGCUAACUCCGUGCCAGCAGCCGCCGUAA
This 449-nucleotide ribosomal RNA is filed under the name uncultured bacterium. Its description in RNAcentral is "partial 16S ribosomal RNA". It matches the Rfam family "Bacterial small subunit ribosomal RNA", at positions 29 to 523 of the family's 1533-position model. The record is from RNAcentral.